RNAcentral lists this ribosomal RNA (493 nucleotides) under Aphelenchoides sp. K1 WY-2008. RNAcentral's name for it is "SSU rRNA". It matches the Rfam family "Eukaryotic small subunit ribosomal RNA", at positions 88 to 590 of the family's 1831-position model. The record is from RNAcentral. Lineage: Eukaryota; Metazoa; Nematoda; Chromadorea; Rhabditida; Aphelenchoididae.
CGCGAAUGGCUCAUUACAACAGCUAUAAUCUACUUGUUCUAUUCGUUAAACGGAUAACUGCGGUAAUUCUGGAGCCAAUACGUGCACAAAGGCCGACGUAGCAAUACGGCGGCUGCACUUAUCGGAGCAAAAUCAAUCUCGAUUAAAUGCUAACUCUGGAUAACCAAGCUUAUCGCACGGCGCAAGCCGGCGAAGUAACAUUCGAGUAUCUGCCCUAUCAUCUAUCGUAGGUAGUGUAUUGGACUACCCAGGAUGUAACGGGUAACGGAGAAUCAGGGUUCGACUCCGGAGAGGGAGCCUUAGAAACGGCUACCAUCGCUAAGGCGAGCAGCAGGCGCGCAACUUAUCCACUGUCCACUCGGACGAGAUAGUGACGAGAAAUAACAAGCCCGUUCUCUUUGAGGUCGGGCAUUGGAAUGGACCGAAUGUAAACGAUUCGGUGAGUACCCACGAGAGGGCAAGUCUGGUGCCAGCAGCCGCGGUAAUUCCAGCU